RNAcentral lists this ribosomal RNA (208 nucleotides) under uncultured bacterium. RNAcentral describes it as "partial 16S ribosomal RNA". It matches the Rfam family "Bacterial small subunit ribosomal RNA", at positions 568 to 775 of the family's 1533-position model. The record is from RNAcentral.
CGCGUAGGCGGCUACCAAAAGUCAGGGGUGAAAUCCGGCAGCUUAACUGUCGCAGUGCCUUUGAUACUGUGGAGCUAGAGGGAGGUAGGGGUCUGUGGAACUUCCGGUGGAGCGGUGAAAUGCGUUGAUAUCGGAAGGAACGCCGGUGGCGAAAGCGACGGACUGGAUCUCUUCUGACGCUGAGGCGCGAAAGCCAGGGAGCAAAACG